AAAGUUCGACUCUUUUUAUAUUGAGGUAAAUAAAAUUUAAGGAAAAAUUAGUAUAAACGGAUAGUAGAUGGAUAAUUAGGGUGUUAUAUAGGUUAAAACGUAAUAGAAACGAAAAAAAGGCCAAGAGGGGAUAAAGCCAAAUAUUUAAAUAAAGACAAGAAAAAGAUCUUAAGAAUUGAAACAUCUUAGUAUUAAGAAAAAAUAAAUCAAGCGAAAAUUUCGUAAGUAGUGGUGAGCGAAAGCGAAUAAAAGUAUAGGUGAUGAUAAAUGAAUUCCAAAGAGGGUAACAGUCCCGUAAGAUUUAUAAAGUUUUAAAGUAGAAUUAUUUGAAGUAGGGUGUUCCAUACAUCUAAAGCUAAAUAAUAUAACACACCGAAAGUGAAGGAGUACUGUGAAGGAAAAUUGAAAGAGAAAAAAAAUGAAAAAGAUAUUAAAAUUUACUAUUUAUAAGCAGAUGGAGUUCAUCGUACCUUUUGCAUAAUGGGUUCAUAAGAAAAAUAUUUGGCAAACUUAAGUUAAUAAAGUGUAAGUAGAGUGAAAACAAAUUUGAAUGUUAGGGGUGUUAGUCAGAUAGAGCCCGAAACCAAGUGAUCUAGCCAUGAGCAGUUUGAAGCUUUCUUAAUCGAGAGUGGAGGAGCGAACCGGUAAUUGUAGCAAAAAUUUCGGAUGAUUUGUGGUUAGGGGUAAAAAGCCAAUCGAACUUGGAGAUAGCUGGUUUUUUGCGAAAACUAUUUAAGUAGUGUGUUAUUAGGUGUGAUUUUUAUAUGGUAAAGCACUGGGGGGGCUUAUCUAUAGGGUGAGUUCAAUCAAACUAUGAAUGUAUAAAAAGAAGUAAUAAUAGACAGACAAUGGGCGAGAAGGUUCAUUGUCAAAAGGGGAACAACCCAGAUCAUAAGUUAAGGUCGUUAAGAGUUUUAAACUAAGUGUUAAAAAGAGUUAUUUGGUGGGGACAGUAAGAAAGUAGGCUUGGAGCCAGCCAUCUUUAAAAGAUUACGUAAUAGUUCACUUAAUAAAUUAAUAAUUCUUAAAAAUUAUGGCGGCUUAAGUUUAAAAAUUACCGAAACUUUGAAUAGAAGAUAAUUAUUUGAAAGUAUGGUAGCUUAAUAUAUUAAUCUAGCAUAAGAAUUAUGGUAGCAAAACGUUUAGUAGUGAAAAAUUCUAUUGAAAAAGGGUAUCUAAAGUGAUAAUGUGAACAUGAGUAAAAAACAAUGUGAGAAUCAUUGCUCACAGCCUAAGGUUUCCAAUAAAAAGAUGUUCUGAAUUGGGUUAUACAGUUUUUAAGGGGAUACUGAUAAAAAAGAAAUAAAAAGUGGAAGAGAUUAUUGAGUUAAACGUUGGACUGUUCGUCCAUUAAAAUCAUAUAGGUUUUAUACUUAAAACUGUACUAAAUCUAACACGAGUGGGCAAAAGUGAUGGUAUAAUUUAUCUUAAGGAACUCGGCAAAAUGGCCUUGUAAGUUCGCAAGAAAAGGUGCUAAUUAUUUAAUCAAAAAAUUGGUAAGUAAUUAGUCUCAGUAAAGAGGGGGUGUCGACUGUUUACCAAAAACAUAGCUUUCAGCAAAAAACCUUUGGUUUGAAGUAUUGAAGGUGAGGCCUGCCCAGUGGUUGUAUCUCAACCCAAAUGAUAGAAGAAGUUGUUUGGUUAAGGGCAAUUUAACGGCCGCGGUAAAUCUGACCGUGAUAAUGUAGCGCAAUCAAUAGCCAAUUAAUUGUUGGCAAGUAUGAAUGGCUUAACGAAUGCCCCACUGUCUCAAGAUAAAAACCAAUGAAAUUGAAGUUGUAGUGAAGAUGCUACAUAUAAAUUAUAAGACGAGAAGACCCCAUUGAGCUUUACUGGGGGCUUAUAUAGUCUUUUUCCAAUUAAUAUUUAGAUUAUGUGGGUAUUAUUAACCAAUUAAAAAGGGUAGAAAUGUGGAAGACCACUUGUUAAUAGGGGGGGAAGACUAAUUAAAAAGAAGAGUAUAAGUUGGACAGUUUAGUUGGGGCGACUGCCUUCUAAAUAGUAACGAAGGCGGGCAUAAGGUAAAUAAUCUAAUAAAAUAAAGUAAAAAGCCUGACAGCAAGAAGGACUUUCAAGCUGACACAAAUAAAGGGUUUUAUAUUGUGGGCUGUAAUGACCCGUUAGUGAAUAGUGGAAUUGCUAACGAUUAACGAAUAAAAGUUACCAUGGGGAUAACAGCGUAAUAUUGUUUGAGAGUUCUUAUCGACGACAAUGUUUGCGACCUCGAUGUUGAAUUGUGAUAUCCUGGAGGUGUAGCCGUUUCCAAGGGUUGGACUGUUCGUCCAUUAAAAUCAUACAUGAUUUGAGUUCAGACCGGUGUGAGCCAGGUCGGUUUCUAUCUAUAAUUUAUUUAAGAAACAUAAGAUAAAACUAUAUUCUAGUACGAAAGGAUCGAGUGAUAGUUAUCCGCUGGUGUACCAAUUACUGGUUUAAUUAUAAAUAAACAAAUAGUUGUUGGGUGGCUAUGAUAAUAUAAAAUAAAUUUUUAAUCUUUGAAUGCAUCUCAAAAGAGAAAAAAGAUAUUAUUCUGUGUUUCUAGAAAUUUUAUGGUUGGGCUGUUCGUCCAUUCCAUAAUGACCUGUAAGGCCGUUUUAGAAUAAGACGUGAAUAGGGUUUAUAUGGUAGUUUAAAACCACU
RNAcentral lists this ribosomal RNA (2637 nucleotides) under Tethya wilhelma. Its description in RNAcentral is "16S ribosomal RNA". It matches the Rfam family "Bacterial large subunit ribosomal RNA". The record is from RNAcentral. Lineage: Eukaryota; Metazoa; Porifera; Demospongiae; Tethyida; Tethyidae.